ACGGGUGAGUAAUGCCUAGGAAUCUGCCUGGUAGUGGGGGACAACGUCUCGAAAGGGACGCUAAUACCGCAUACGUCCUACGGGAGAAAGCAGGGGACCUUCGGGCCUUGCGCUAUCAGAUGAGCCUAGGUCGGAUUAGCUAGUUGGUGAGGUAAUGGCUCACCAAGGCGACGAUCCGUAACUGGUCUGAGAGGAUGAUCAGUCACACUGGAACUGAGACACGGUCCAGACUCCUACGGGAGGCAGCAGUGGGGAAUAUUGGACAAUGGGCGAAAGCCUGAUCCAGCCAUGCCGCGUGUGUGAAGAAGGUCUUCGGAUUGUAAAGCACUUUAAGUUGGGAGGAAGGGCAUUAACCUAAUACGUUAGUGUUUUGACGUUACCGACAGAAUAAGCACCGGCUAACUCUGUGCCAGCAGCCGCGGUAAUACAGAGGGUGCAAGCGUUAAUCGGAAUUACUGGGCGUAAAGCGCGCGUAGGUGGUUUGUUAAGUUGGAUGUGAAAGCCCCGGGCUCAACCUGGGAACUGCAUUCAAAACUGACAAGCUAGAGUAUGGUAGAGGGUGGUGGAAUUUCCUGUGUAGCGGUGA
Molecule: ribosomal RNA, 586 nt
Filed under: uncultured bacterium
Lineage: Bacteria
Description: bacterial SSU rRNA
Rfam family: Bacterial small subunit ribosomal RNA
Source: RNAcentral